CCAGACUCCUACGGGAGGCAGCAGUGGGGAAUAUUGCACAAUGGGCGCAAGCCUGAUGCAGCGACGCCGCGUGAGGGAUGACGGCCUUCGGGUUGUAAACCUCUUUCAGUAGGGAAGAAGCGAGAGUGACGGUACCUGCAGAAGAAGCGCCGGCUAACUACGUGCCAGCAGCCGCGGUAAUACGUAGGGCGCAAGCGUUAUCCGGAAUUAUUGGGCGUAAAGAGCUCGUAGGCGGUUUGUCGCGUCUGCCGUGAAAGUCCGGGGCUCAACUCCGGAUCUGCGGUGGGUACGGGCAGACUAGAGUGAUGUAGGGGAGACUGGAAUUCCUGGUGUAGCGGUGAAAUGCGCAGAUAUCAGGAGGAACACCGAUGGCGAAGGCAGGUCUCUGGGCAUUAACUGACGCUGAGGAGCGAAAGCAUGGGGAGCGAACAGGAUUAGAUACCCUGGUAGUCCAUGCCGUAAACGUUGGGCACUAGGUGUGGGGGGACAUUCCACGUUUUCCGCGCCGUAGCUAACGCAUUAAGUGCCCCGCCUGGGGAGUACGGCCGCAAGGCUAAAACUCAAAGGAAUUGACGGGGGCCCGCACAAGCGGCGGAGCAUGCGGAUUAAUUCGAUGCAACGCGAAGAACCUUACCAAGGCUUGACAUGAACCGGACCGGGCUGGAAACAGUCUUUCCCCUUGUGGGCUGGUUUACAGGUGGUGCAUGGUUGUCGUCAGCUCCGUGUCGUGAGAUGUUGGGUUAAGUCCCGCAACGAGCGCAACCCUCGUUCUAUGUUGCCAGCACGUGAUGGUGGGGACUCAUAGGAGACUGCCGGGGUCAACUCGGAGGAAGGUGGGGACGACGUCAAAUCAUCAUGCCCCUUAUGUCUUGGGCUUCACGCUGCUACAAUGGCCGGUACAAAGGGUUGCGAUACUGUGAGGUGGAGCUAAUCCCAAAAAGCCGGUCUCAGUUCGGAUUGGGGUCUGCAACUCGACCCCAUGAAGUCGGAGUCGCUAGUAAUCGCAGAUCAGCAACGCUGCGGUGAAUACGUUCCCGGGCCUUGUACACACCGCCCGUCAAGUCACGAAAGUUGGUAACACCCGAAGCCGGUGGCCUAA
RNAcentral lists this ribosomal RNA (1099 nucleotides) under Arthrobacter sp. Its description in RNAcentral is "bacterial SSU rRNA". It matches the Rfam family "Bacterial small subunit ribosomal RNA", at positions 331 to 1438 of the family's 1533-position model. The record is from RNAcentral. Lineage: Bacteria; Bacillati; Actinomycetota; Actinomycetes; Micrococcales; Micrococcaceae.